Molecule: ribosomal RNA, 900 nt
Filed under: Kocuria palustris
Lineage: Bacteria; Bacillati; Actinomycetota; Actinomycetes; Micrococcales; Micrococcaceae
Description: partial 16S ribosomal RNA
Rfam family: Bacterial small subunit ribosomal RNA
Source: RNAcentral
CUGGCGGCGUGCUUAACACAUGCAAGUCGAACGCUGAAGCACCAGCUUGCUGGUGUGGAUGAGUGGCGAACGGGUGAGUAAUACGUGAGUAACCUGCCCUUGACUCUGGGAUAAGCCCGGGAAACUGGGUCUAAUACUGGAUGCUACAUGUCACCGCAUGGUGGUGUGUGGAAAGGGUUUACUGGUCUUGGAUGGGCUCACGGCCUAUCAGCUUGUUGGUGAGGUAAUGGCUCACCAAGGCGACGACGGGUAGCCGGCCUGAGAGGGUGACCGGCCACACUGGGACUGAGACACGGCCCASACUCCUACGGGAGGCAGCAGUGGGGAAUAUUGCACAAUGGGCGAAAGCCUGAUGCAGCGACGCCGCGUGAGGGAUGACGGCCUUCGGGUUGUAAACCUCUUUCAGCAGGGAAGAAGCCACAAGUGACGGUACCUGCAGAAGAAGCGCCGGCUAACUACGUGCCAGCAGCCGCGGUAAUACGUAGGGCGCAAGCGKUGUCCGGAAUUAUUGGGCGUAAAGAGCUCGUAGGCGGUUUGKCGCGUCUGCUGUGAAAGCCCGGGGCUUAACCCCGGGUGUGCAGUGSGUACGGGCAGACUMGAGUGCAGUAGGGSAGACUGGAAUUCCUGGUGUAGCGGWGGAAUGCRCAGAUAUCARGASGAACACCGAUGGCGAAGGCAGGUCUCUGGGCUGUUACUGACGCUGAGGAGCGAMMGCAUGGKGAGCGAACAGGAUUAGAUACCCUGGYAGUCCAUGUCGUAAACGUUGGGCACUASGUGUGGGGGACAUUCAYGYUYUCCGCSMCGUAGCUACGCAUUASUGCCCUGCUGSUGAGUASGCCGCAGCUGACACUCRAGGAAUUGACGGGGUUGCACAGCGRCGGAGCAUGCCGCAUAAUUCGA